This 497-nucleotide ribosomal RNA is filed under the name uncultured bacterium. RNAcentral describes it as "partial 16S ribosomal RNA". It matches the Rfam family "Bacterial small subunit ribosomal RNA", at positions 28 to 507 of the family's 1533-position model. The record is from RNAcentral.
GACGAACGCUGGCGGCGUGCCUAAUACAUGCAAGUCGAACGCUGAAGCUUGGUGCUUGCACCGAGCGGAUGAGUUGCGAACGGGUGAGUAACGCGUAGGUAACCUGCCUGGUAGCGGGGGAUAACUAUUGGAAACGAUAGCUAAUACCGCAUAAGAGUAGAUGUUGCAUGACAUUUGCUUAAAAGGUGCAAUUGCAUCACUACCAGAUGGACCUGCGUUGUAUUAGCUAGUUGGUGAGGUAACGGCUCACCAAGGCAACGAUACAUAGCCGACCUGAGAGGGUGAUCGGCCACACUGGGACUGAGACACGGCCCAGACUCCUACGGGAGGCAGCAGUAGGGAAUCUUCGGCAAUGGACGGAAGUCUGACCGAGCAACGCCGCGUGAGUGAAGAAGGUUGUCGGAUCGUAAAGCUCUGUUGUAAGAGAAGAACGAGUGUGAGAGUAGAAAGUUCACACUGUGACGGUAGCUUACCAGAAAGGGACGGCUAACUACGUG